UACGUAGGUGGCGAGCGUUGUCCGGAAUUAUUGGGCGUAAAGGGCGCGUAGGCGGUAUCCUAAGUCAGGUGUGAAAGCCCCCGGCUCAACUGGGGAGGGACAUCUGAUACUGGGAAACUAGAGUGCAGGAGAGGAAAGUGGAAUUCCGUGUGUAGCGGUGAAAUGCGUAGAUAUACGGAGGAACACCAGUGGCGAAGGCGGCUUUCUGGACUGCAACUGACGCUGAGGCGCGAAAGCUGGGGGAGCGAACGGG
RNAcentral lists this ribosomal RNA (253 nucleotides) under uncultured bacterium. RNAcentral's name for it is "partial 16S ribosomal RNA". It matches the Rfam family "Bacterial small subunit ribosomal RNA", at positions 524 to 776 of the family's 1533-position model. The record is from RNAcentral.